CAAAAAGCGUAGAUUGAGAAAAGUAGCAUAAAUUAUCGCUUCCAGUGAGCGGGAGACAGUGGGAACUCCGCAGAGUGAAUUUAUGUGAAGAACACUCAGGAGCUGUAAUCUGAACAUCCUAAGGAUUAGUAGGUGCGCCGCAGGCUGUGCGUUAUUCAGCAUACCAGAGAGGCUGCAGGGCAGCAAAUCAGGUGGUACCGCGGAACUUGUACAGUUGUCCGUCCUGAAU
This 229-nucleotide non-coding RNA is filed under the name Anaerostipes sp. RNAcentral describes it as "T-box sequence". It matches the Rfam family "T-box leader". From Rfam's summary of the family: Uncharged tRNA acts as the effector for transcription antitermination of genes in the T-box leader family. The record is from RNAcentral. Lineage: Bacteria; Bacillati; Bacillota; Clostridia; Lachnospirales; Lachnospiraceae.